AUAGCAGUAUUUUGAGAAUUUGAUAGGGGGGGGGGCAACGGGUCGGGUAUAGGUCAGGUCAAUCGAUAUUCGUAUCAGCCCUACCAAAAAGAACCCAUACCCAUAUCUGCCCCAUACCCAUCUCAGAUCGAGUUGGGUUGGGCUCUAAAAAUGGGUCUGGUCGGAUAGGAUAUACCCAAAAUUUCUGUAUAGUUAAAAAAAUUACAAUGGAAUAAAGCCUAACAAUUUUAUAGCCAA
Molecule: long non-coding RNA, 237 nt
Filed under: Elaeis guineensis (African oil palm)
Lineage: Eukaryota; Viridiplantae; Streptophyta; Magnoliopsida; Arecales; Arecaceae
Description: long non-coding RNA (EGUI_LNC003628)
Source: RNAcentral